Long non-coding RNA from Calidris pugnax (ruff), 396 nucleotides. RefSeq lists it as uncharacterized. Lineage: Eukaryota; Metazoa; Chordata; Aves; Charadriiformes; Scolopacidae. The record is from RefSeq and is a predicted model, not a curated record. The transcript is spliced from 2 exons.
GAAGCUAAGUUAUAGGCCAGGUUCUGGCUCCUCCGCACAUCUCCUGAACUCGGAGGAUUUGUUUCUUCAAUGAACUUUUAAACUCCCCUAAACUUGCCCUUUCGGGACGGGGCUAUCUCUGCCUAUUGUCUUUCUUUCCAGCCUUUAUUAUUUCUUUUGCUCACCCCUUUGAGUUGUUUAAUCCACUUGAGGAUAAACGCCCAGCUUACAAGGUUUUACUCUUCAGGAGGGAUUUUUUGUUGCGCUUUCGUGCGUUUGGAGGGGUCCGUGACUGAAGUUUCUUUCAUAACCUGCCUCUCAGACCUGCCUAAAUGUAUCAUUCAUAAAUUAUGUUUGCUUUAUGCUGAGUUUUUAUUCCUGUUUCCUGUCUCUCUCUCAAAAAAAAAAAAAAAACAA